AUUGAACGCUGGCGGCAGGCCUAACACAUGCAAGUCGAGCGGAUGAAGGGAGCUUGCUCCUGGAUUCAGCGGCGGACGGGUGAGUAAUGCCUAGGAAUCUGCCUGGUAGUGGGGGAUAACGUCCGGAAACGGGCGCUAAUACCGCAUACGUCCUGAGGGAGAAAGUGGGGGAUCUUCGGACCUCACGCUAUCAGAUGAGCCUAGGUCGGAUUAGCUAGUUGGUGGGGUAAAGGCCUACCAAGGCGACGAUCCGUAACUGGUCUGAGGGGAUGAUCAGUCACACUGGAGCUGAGACACGGUCCAGACUCCUACGGGAGGCAGCAGUGGGGAAUAUUGGACAAUGGGCGAAAGCCUGAUCCAGCCAUGCCGCGUGUGUGAAGAAGGUCUUCGGAUUGUAAAGCACUUUAAGUUGGGAGGAAGGGCAGUAAGUUAAUACCUUGCUGUUUUGACGUUACCAACAGAAUAAGCACCGGCUAACUUCGUG
RNAcentral lists this ribosomal RNA (484 nucleotides) under uncultured bacterium. RNAcentral describes it as "partial 16S ribosomal RNA". It matches the Rfam family "Bacterial small subunit ribosomal RNA", at positions 30 to 507 of the family's 1533-position model. The record is from RNAcentral.